CCUACGGGAGGCUGCAGUGGGGAAUAUUGGACAAUGGGGGCAACCCUGAUCCAGCCAUGCCGCGUGUGUGAAGAAGGCCCUCGGGUUGUAAAGCACUUUCAGUGAGGAAGAACGCCUGGUGGUUAAUACCCAUCAGGAAAGACAUCACUCACAGAAGAAGCACCGGCUAACUCCGUGCCAGCAGCCGCGGUAAUACGGAGGGUGCGAGCGUUAAUCGGAAUUACUGGGCGUAAAGCGCGCGUAGGUGGCUUGAUAAGCCGGUUGUGAAAGCCCCGGGCUCAACCUGGGAACGGCAUCCGGAACUGUCAAGCUAGAGUGCAGGAGAGGAAAGUAGAAUUCCCGGUGUAGCGGUGAAAUGCGUAGAGAUCGGGAGGAAUACCAGUGGCGAAGGCGGCCUUCUGGACUGACUCUGACACUGAGGUGCGAAAGCGUGGGUAGCAAACAGGAUUAGAUACCCCGGUAGUC
RNAcentral lists this ribosomal RNA (465 nucleotides) under Vreelandella stevensii. Its description in RNAcentral is "partial 16S ribosomal RNA". It matches the Rfam family "Bacterial small subunit ribosomal RNA", at positions 338 to 795 of the family's 1533-position model. Lineage: Bacteria; Pseudomonadati; Pseudomonadota; Gammaproteobacteria; Oceanospirillales; Halomonadaceae. The record is from RNAcentral.